This 515-nucleotide transfer RNA is filed under the name Coleofasciculus chthonoplastes CHI. Its description in RNAcentral is "16S-23S ribosomal RNA intergenic spacer". The stretch from base 212 to 284 matches the Rfam family "tRNA". The record is from RNAcentral. Lineage: Bacteria; Bacillati; Cyanobacteriota; Cyanophyceae; Coleofasciculales; Coleofasciculaceae.
UUUUUAGGGAGACCAACUGAUUGAUGAAGAGAAUAAAUAGUUAAAGCUUCAUCAAUUCGGACACCCUAGGUCGGUCAAGGAAAAAGUUGAUUGGCUUUCAAACUGGUUUCGGUUCGGAAAAUGGGCUAUUAGCUCAGGUGGUUAGAGCGCACCCCUGAUAAGGGUGAGGUCCCUGGUUCGAGUCCAGGAUGGCCCACCUGUUCCAGGAAGAGGGGGUAUAGCUCAGCUGGUAGAGCGCUGCCUUUGCAAGGCAGAUGUCAGCGGUUCGAGUCCGCUUACCUCCAUACUUCCCCAAGAAGGCAGCAGGUUAAGCCAAACACCCGCAAACAGGAACCGGAAAAAACAGAGCGUUCAGCACCUGUAGAAGUCAAAAAAACUUGCUCAGACUGCUGGACGUAAACGUUCAGUCAGAACCUUGAAAACUGCAUAGCGAGAGAAAAAGUCAAAGUCAGAUAGUAAUGCACAAUGCCAAAAAAGGCGUUUGUGUCUUACACAGACAAAAACCAAAAAUAGAU